RNAcentral lists this ribosomal RNA (482 nucleotides) under uncultured bacterium. RNAcentral's name for it is "partial 16S ribosomal RNA". It matches the Rfam family "Bacterial small subunit ribosomal RNA", at positions 30 to 507 of the family's 1533-position model. The record is from RNAcentral.
AUUGAACGCUGGCGGCAUGCCUUACACAUGCAAGUCGAACGGUAACAGGUCUUCGGACGCUGACGAGUGGCGAACGGGUGAGUAAUACAUCGGAACGUGCCCGAUCGUGGGGGAUAACGAGGCGAAAGCUUUGCUAAUACCGCAUACGAUCUACGGAUGAAAGCGGGGGAUCUUCGGACCUCGCGCGGACGGAGCGGCCGAUGGCAGAUUAGGUAGUUGGUGGGAUAAAAGCUUACCAAGCCGACGAUCUGUAGCUGGUCUGAGAGGAUGAUCAGCCACACUGGGACUGAGACACGGCCCAGACUCCUACGGGAGGCAGCAGUGGGGAAUUUUGGACAAUGGGCGAAAGCCUGAUCCAGCCAUGCCGCGUGCAGGAUGAAGGCCUUUGGGUUGUAAACUGCUUUUGUACGGAACGAAAAGCCUCUUUCUAAUAAAGAGGGGUCAUGACGGUACCGUAAGAAUAAGCACCGGCUAACUACGUG